RNAcentral lists this ribosomal RNA (1367 nucleotides) under Subtercola sp. Its description in RNAcentral is "bacterial SSU rRNA". It matches the Rfam family "Bacterial small subunit ribosomal RNA", at positions 67 to 1444 of the family's 1533-position model. Lineage: Bacteria; Bacillati; Actinomycetota; Actinomycetes; Micrococcales; Microbacteriaceae. The record is from RNAcentral.
CGAUGAUGCUGAGCUUGCUUAGCGGAUUAGUGGCGAACGGGUGAGUAACACGUGAGUAACCUGCCCUUGACUCUGGGAUAAGCGUUGGAAACGACGUCUAAUACCGGAUAUGACCUUCAGCCGCAUGGUUUGUUGGUGGAAAGAAUUUUGGUCAAGGAUGGACUCGCGGCCUAUCAGGUUGUUGGUGAGGUAAUGGCUCACCAAGCCUACGACGGGUAGCCGGCCUGAGAGGGUGACCGGCCACACUGGGACUGAGACACGGCCCAGACUCCUACGGGAGGCAGCAGUGGGGAAUAUUGCACAAUGGGCGAAAGCCUGAUGCAGCAACGCCGCGUGAGGGAUGACGGCCUUCGGGUUGUAAACCUCUUUUAGUAAGGAAGAAGAACUUCGGUUUGACGGUACUUGCAGAAAAAGCACCGGCUAACUACGUGCCAGCAGCCGCGGUAAUACGUAGGGUGCAAGCGUUGUCCGGAAUUAUUGGGCGUAAAGAGCUCGUAGGCGGUUUGUCGCGUCUGCUGUGAAAUCUGGAGGCUCAACCUCCAGCCUGCAGUGGGUACGGGCAGACUAGAGUGCGGUAGGGGAGAUUGGAAUUCCUGGUGUAGCGGUGGAAUGCGCAGAUAUCAGGAGGAACACCGAUGGCGAAGGCAGAUCUCUGGGCCGUAACUGACGCUGAGGAGCGAAAGCAUGGGGAGCGAACAGGAUUAGAUACCCUGGUAGUCCAUGCCGUAAACGUUGGGAACUAGAUGUAGGGCCCUUUCACGGUUUCUGUGUCGCAGCUAACGCAUUAAGUUCCCCGCCUGGGGAGUACGGCCGCAAGGCUAAAACUCAAAGGAAUUGACGGGGGCCCGCACAAGCGGCGGAGCAUGCGGAUUAAUUCGAUGCAACCCGAAGAACCUUACCAAGGCUUGACAUAUACCGGAAACCUGCAGAAAUGUAGGCCCCGCAAGGUCGGUAUACAGGUGGUGCAUGGUUGUCGUCAGCUCGUGUCGUGAGAUGUUGGGUUAAGUCCCGCAACGAGCGCAACCCUCGUUCUAUGUUGCCAGCACGUUAUGGUGGGAACUCAUAGGAGACUGCCGGGGUCAACUCGGAGGAAGGUGGGGAUGACGUCAAAUCAUCAUGCCCCUUAUGUCUUGGGCUUCACGCAUGCUACAAUGGCCGGUACAAAGGGCUGCGAUACCGUAAGGUGGAGCGAAUCCCAAAAAGCCGGUCUCAGUUCGGAUUGAGGUCUGCAACUCGACCUCAUGAAGUCGGAGUCGCUAGUAAUCGCAGAUCAGCAACGCUGCGGUGAAUACGUUCCCGGGCCUUGUACACACCGCCCGUCAAGUCAUGAAAGUCGGUAACACCCGAAGCCAGUGGCCCAACCGUAA